AUACCCGCUUUAUUCAUUGAUUCAUUCAAUUUUUGUUCAUCGUUUUCUCUAGAUCUCUCUUCUAUAUAGUCCUCUCGGAGGUUUUCCGAUGAAGAUCGUCACUGAUCUCCUUCCGAUCUACAGAUCGGCGUCUUAUACGAAGAGAUCCAGAGGCUCCGGUUGAUUCCUCGUCAGAAGACGGAUCGUCGCGGUUGAGCUCCGAAGAUCGGUUGAAGAUCUGAUCUGAUCUUAGAUCAUGAACCGGCCUCGAGGUUCGUCAGAUCUGCGUUACUGAGCUUUUGAUGAGGUGAUGAAUGAUGAAUCCGUCAAUUCUCUAUGGAGCUAGAGAGAUGAGAGGGUGAAGAAGAGAGAAGAAGCUGAUAUGUGAUAUUGAUGUGAGUUAAGUUGAUUGAUGGAUGUAUGAGAUGUUUAUAGGGACGAUAUAGUUCUGCGUAAACAUCUUUGUCAUCCGACCUUUGCCAUGACAGGUGCGCUUGCAUGGCAGGUCACCAAAAUCCUUAAUAAAAAAAAAAAGUUUCGUGUUGUCGAGGGGAGUUCGCACGGGGGAUUUUUUUUGCCCGGGUUCUCCCCUCUUGCGUGUGUGUCUUGCUUCUCGCUCUUCGUACACACUACCUUUGAUCUCGAUUCAUUCACGUAAAUUCUCUCAAUACCACAGAAAUAUUCUCGAUCCGGAUCUUAAGAUCAGCGGAUCUGGAGACAAGCUGGCCAAAUCUUAAUCCAACAUCCUCCAACCAAGGUACCUUCAAUUUUGAGUUUAAAUUCUCCGUUAUUCUCUUUAUUUGCAUCAUAUAACAAACCUGACACCAAAUAUUUAUUACAAUCUCGAAUCGGCCUUUAUUUUUGAGCAUGGAAAUAGUUGCCUCAUUUUCAAAUUGACUGUUAUAAUACAUUAUUCACAAAGUACUUCUACCAAAGUAUUCGUAGGACCUUAAAUUGUCUAAUCGAACGGUUCCAUGGCAGUUUGUUAUAUUCUCCACUUUAUCUAUCUACUGUUGUUUGAUGUUUGUACUUUUUCUGUAAGAAUUCUCAUUGGAAGAAAUUGUACCCAGUUUUAUGAUUACGUAAAGAAAUAUCAGUAGUGAAUAUUCUGACCUAUUCUAGAAAAUAGCGCUGUAGUAUUUAGUCUCUCGUAUGGGUUUUACGAUUUGGAUUUAUCACGGCUGCAUUCAUUAGCAAGAGCUAUGGCUAGAGUAGCUAGCUCCUGGAGAAGUAAUACGAGUAUCGAAGGUCUCUGAUUUUUGAUAUGAUGGCGUUUGGACUCGAUUCGAGCCUGCAGUUUCGAUUGAUAUAUACUCUGUUGUUGUAUCAUUUCGUACAGUAGUUUUUUUUAGACUUUUGCAUUCUGAUGGGAUCUUUCAAAUUUAAUAAGUCAGUUUCAGUUUAUGCAUUGAUCAUUGUUUGAUAUCAUACAACUCUGUGGUGUUACUACUUCAAAUUAGUUCUAUUUGAUGAUUUUAUAUAUAAAUUUCAAGUUUGAUUUAUAUCUAAUUUGGUUUUAUUAAACUCUUGCAACCGUGGGCUUUCCGUCUUCAGGAUGCUUCAAGUGGGGUGGAAUAUUGGAGCGACCAUAUUAGAAAUGAUUCUCGGUAGCCCAUGGAGUUGAUCCAAAUAGGCAAGGUUUGUGCUAAUAGAUCUGUAAGCUCAAAAUGGUAGAGCUCUCAUUAUGAGAGGUUGGUGGUUCGAAUCCAUCCAGAUCUGUCGACUUUCUAUCCUCUUUUACCUUUAUCAUGUCAUUGUAUAACACAAUAUUUCAAAUCUAUGUGUGUUGAAUAUGAUCUGCCGAUGUUAUUGCUAAAACCAGGGCAGCCGUAAAAGGGCCUCUGUAAAAUUUAGCAUCUGCCACGGAGGAAGGUGGAAUUGAUCAUUUUUAAAGCAACGGCGUCUAAACAUGGACUGACAUCCUAAGUCCUAACUAGUUGUGUUAUUUGGACUACAAGCAAUAAGCAAGGAGCAUAAUUCACUUAACAGUAAUAAAAAAACAUACUAAUGAAAGAUGACUGCAAAACUCUGUUAAUCAUUGUUGGGUUAUGAUAUUUAUCAAGGCUAACUCAUUCACCAUCUCUAUGUAUUCGUCAUUUCUUAGUUGAUAAAGAAUAUUUUUAUAA
Molecule: small RNA, 2105 nt
Filed under: Arabidopsis thaliana (thale cress)
Lineage: Eukaryota; Viridiplantae; Streptophyta; Magnoliopsida; Brassicales; Brassicaceae
Description: ncRNA (AT4G36648)
Rfam family: tRNA (bases 1630-1698)
Source: RNAcentral